UACGAAGGGUGCAAGCGUUACUCGGAAUUACUGGGCGUAAAGCGUGCGUAGGUGGUUUGUUAAGUCUGCUGUGAAAGCCCCCGGCUCAACUGGGGAGUGUCGUGCGAUACGGUCGAACUGGAGGCCAGUAGGGGGAUGCGGAAUUCCGGGUGAGUGGUGGAAUGCGUAGAGAGUCCGGAGGAACACCAGCGGCGAAGGCGGCAUCCGUGGAC
This 212-nucleotide ribosomal RNA is filed under the name uncultured bacterium. RNAcentral's name for it is "partial 16S ribosomal RNA". It matches the Rfam family "Bacterial small subunit ribosomal RNA", at positions 524 to 734 of the family's 1533-position model. The record is from RNAcentral.